AAUUUCUCUUUUUAUAAACUAAUGAGUUUUUUAUUCAUGAACUGCUUUCUCUGAAAUACAAAUCUGGAGCUUCGCGUGUGUAUAAAUGUAUAAAUAUAUAUUUUUUUCUUUUUUCUGUGUAAUUUCCUGUGCCACAUUCCAAUCUAGUAGAUGGCGGUAAUGUUCCUUAAACAUGGCUGCCAACCGCCAAUAAAACGAAGAAGAAGAAGAACUUCCUUUUCCUGUGUCUCUUCAAACAGGAGCGCGGGAUGGCGGGAGAGUAAACACCGCUGAACGCUUUACAACCAAAUAGGAUCCCUGGUAAAGACACAACCGAAUUCAUUCACAGUGAGUUUAGCCUCAGUAAUCUGAUUAAUAUUUGUUAUUCUUAUCUAGUCAUGUAGCUCCACGCAAACUGCUGCGAGCGCACGUACACCAAACCCCAUUGGGAAAAAUGUCAAUUUAAGGCCUGGCGUCUCUGAAUGCGAGACGCUAUUAACAGUUUAAUUUUUGGUUAAAUCUUUAAGGGAAGGUUGAUUUUGUGGGUUUUUUUGCUGCCGUAUUGUCACUUUCAACUGUUACGUCAAUUCAUUUUGGUUAUUUUCUACAUGUUAGUUUAAUUUGAAUCAAUUGGACUUAAUUAUUCAAAUCUCAAUUGAGGUUCGUGUAUGGUGUUUUUGUUUAGUAUUGUCGUUCAGGGACUUAUUUCUUCUUUCUGAUCUUUUUUACAGUUUUCUUUUAUACCCUUUUCAACGACCGACUAAGAUGGAGAGCAAACUGGAGCUGAACCAUCACCUCACUGAACUUCAGCGGUAGGAUAAAAGUUUGAGACUGAAACACAGAAAAUGAGGAUUACUUUAAUUAAAAACCAAAGACUGACAGAAAGAACUCUUGGAUUUUUGAAGAACACAUGGAUUUUUUUUAACUUGAGUUUCUUUUCCUCUUUCUUUGUCUGAGUUUUGGAUAAUUAAUUUAACUGUUGAAUCACUUUACACCUCGUUUCCUGUUAAGAUUAUUUGAAUCCAUCAUUUAAACCUAACUUUGUUGUAUUGUUUCAUUGAUAUUUUCACAGUCUGGGCUGUUUUUAAUAAAAAGUUUAAUUUUUCUAAA
This is a non-coding RNA of Xyrichtys novacula (pearly razorfish), 1089 nucleotides long. Lineage: Eukaryota; Metazoa; Chordata; Actinopteri; Labriformes; Labridae. The record is from the annotation of a GenBank genome assembly.